RNAcentral lists this long non-coding RNA (211 nucleotides) under Elaeis guineensis (African oil palm). RNAcentral describes it as "long non-coding RNA (EGUI_LNC019277)". The record is from RNAcentral. Lineage: Eukaryota; Viridiplantae; Streptophyta; Magnoliopsida; Arecales; Arecaceae.
UCCAACGGGGUGGGAGGCUUGGAGCAGCUGAAUAGGGAAGCUUAGAUGAUGGCUGGGGUUUUGUGUUGGGUAUUUUUUUAAUUUUUUCGUUCUCGGAGGUCUCGAUCGGGUGGGAGGCUUGGAGGGAUCGGGAUAAUUCUGAUUUCGAGCGGGUUGAUUAGACACCAAACAAAAUUUCAAAUAUAAAAUCUACUUAAUUCAUCUUAGAUCA